CCCCACCCAUUGCACGCUAAUCGUAAGUUCCAGACCCACCCGAUCCCACACGCUUCCUUCACAGUAGAACCCUUCUUUUCUCUCUCUGGUUCUCAUUUUCACAAAAAACCUAGUGUCCGCUCAGAACCGCAGCGCCGACUUCACCAUGGAUGCUGAUGAGAAACAAAUGAUAGAUAUUGAGGAGGAGAUACGUUCUUUGCAGCUUGACUCGGCAGCAGAAGAAAAUAAUGGGGUUGUUAAUCCUGAGGAUGCAAAGGCAGAAGAAGUUGAGGAAGUGGAUAAGAUGGAGGAAGAUUCGAAGGAAGAUGUCCAUAAAGAGGCAGUGCAGGUUGAACAAAAAGUGAAAGAUAAGGAAAUCUCUGCCUCAGAUAAGAAACCAGUGGUUGAGAAGGAGGUUUCUAAGAAGAGGCACUUGAAUGUUGUCUUUAUUGGCCAUGUUGAUGCUGGUAAGUCCACUAUUGGAGGCCAAAUACUUUUUCUCAGUGGUCAGGUGGAUGAUCGUACAAUCCAAAAAUAUGAAAAAGAAGCAAAGGACAAAAGUAGAGAAAGCUGGUAUAUGGCGUAUAUUAUGGACACUAAUGAAGAGGAGAGAAUCAAGGGGAAGACUGUUGAAGUUGGAAGAGGUCACUUUGAAACAGAGACGACAAGAUUUACAAUUUUGGAUGCACCGGGUCACAAAAGUUAUGUCCCAAAUAUGAUCAGUGGUGCAUCUCAAGCUGAUGUAGGCGUACUGGUAAUUUCUGCACGAAAAGGGGAAUUCGAAACUGGAUAUGAGAGAGGUGGACAGACCCGUGAACAUGUUCAGCUCGCAAAAACCCUGGGUGUGUCUAAGCUGCUUGUAGUUGUGAAUAAGAUGGAUGACCCUACUGUCAAUUGGUCAAAGCAAAGGUAUGAAGAAAUUGAGUCGAAGAUGAUUCCAUUUUUAAGGUCUUCAGGAUACAAUGUCAAGAAAGAUGUCCAGUUCCUGCCAAUAUCUGGUCUGCUAGGUACAAACAUGAAAAAAAGAUUGGAUAAAGGCAUUUGUCCAUGGUGGGAUGGUCCCUGCCUCUUUGAAGCCCUUGAUGCCACCGACAUUCCUGAACGAGAUCCCAAAGGUCCAUUUAGGAUGCCUGUUAUAGACAAAUUCAGAGAGAAGGGAAUUGUUGUUAUGGGAAAAGUAGAAUCUGGCACUGUGUGUGAGGGAGAUUCCUUGUUGAUCAUGCCAAAUAAGGCUCAUGUUAAAGUUAUUGAUAUAUACUGUGAUGAAGAUGAGGUCAGAUAUGCAGGGCCAGGUGAAAAUGUACGGGUUAGACUAACUGGGGUUGAAGAAGAGGGCAUAUUAUCGGGCUUUGUUUUGUCAAGCAUUGCUAAACCAAUACAUGCUGUUACUGAGUUUGUUGCACAGUUGCAGAUCCUUGAGUUGCUGGACAAUGCAAUUUUUACAGCUGGCUAUAAGGCUGUCUUGCACAUUCAUGCUGUUGUUGAAGAAUGUGAGAUUGUUGAGUUGUUACAGCAAAUUGAUCCAAAGACAAAGAAACCUAUGAAAAAGAAAGUUCUCUUUGUGAAAAAUAGUGCCGUUGUUGUAUGUCGCGUUCAGGUGAAUAAUUUAAUAUGCAUAGAGACGUUCUCAGAUUUUCCUCAACUUGGAAGGUUCACUCUUCGUACUGAAGGAAAAACAGUUGCAGUGGGAAAGGUUACCAGUCUUUUAUAAGUAUUUAAACAAUUUUUGGCAUAAGAGUUCGUUCUUUCACAAAUUUGUCAAAUUGCUUUUUGGGAGGCUUGCCUUCAAAUCGUCAUAUCUUGAUCAAAGGCAACCUGAACAGUGGGGCAUAAAUGUUGCAUUUCAUAGCAGCUUGAAGGGGUCCUAUGUUCUAAUCAAAUCUGGUACAUUGCAUUAUACAGCGAGUAGUUUUAUGAACAUUUAAUUUUCAUGGCUGAUGCCCGUGUGUUCUGGGUGGGGCUUUUGGGGCGUUGUUGCUUUGGGUUAUUUUAUGGGUGAUAUUCGACCUGAUUCACGAAUUGCCCAUAUUUUAGCUUCAUAUGAUUAUGAAUAAUGGUUUUGAAUCAGUCUUAUCUGAUUAAUGUUAGUUAAUCUGGUCUGUAUUUUUAAUUUUUGGUGCUUUGAUAUCCCCUUAAAUGGCCCCUCGAAAUUGAUUAUUGGUUUCUAUUUAUGAUUUCGAGUAAUUUAUUAAAUUGAUUUCUGAA
This is an RNA transcript of Alnus glutinosa, 2184 nucleotides long. RefSeq lists it as uncharacterized. The transcript is spliced from 20 exons. The record is from RefSeq and is a predicted model, not a curated record. NCBI's taxonomy places the organism in Eukaryota, Viridiplantae, Streptophyta, Magnoliopsida, Fagales, Betulaceae.